Long non-coding RNA from Suricata suricatta (meerkat), 333 nucleotides. RefSeq lists it as uncharacterized. The transcript has 3 exons. Lineage: Eukaryota; Metazoa; Chordata; Mammalia; Carnivora; Herpestidae. The record is from RefSeq and is a predicted model, not a curated record.
AGUGGACAUGACUUUGAUCCCAUGUGACCAGUGUAACUUAUUGGAUGAUGCCGUGGCAACAUUUUGUUAAGUACCAGCAUCCCGGAGAAAUCACUGGAAGCACAUUAUCAGAGGAACAGAUGGCCGGUGUCCCUCCUGGUCUGAAGGUGGAGCCUCAAUGGAUUCGAGUCAGCUUGAGUUUUGAAGACCUUCAGAAGACGACUCCAAAAUUCCAUGAUGACGUCUGUGGCACUGUUCAAAACCCUGAUGGGGGGGCGUCUGUCCACCCAGAUCCUACUCCUUCACCUUCUUCCCUCCACAGUCCAACUCAGCCCUCGGACGUGUUUCAUGGCA